GACGAACGCUGGCGGCGUGCCUAAUACAUGCAAGUAGAACGUUGAAGCUUGGUGCUUGCACCGAGCGGAUGAGUUGCGAACGGGUGAGUAACGCGUAGGUAACCUGCCUGGUAGCGGGGGAUAACUAUUGGAAACGAUAGCUAAUACCGCAUAAGAGUAGAUGUUGCAUGACAUUUGCUUAAAAGGUGCAAUUGCAUCACUACCAGAUGGACCUGCGUUGUAUUAGCUAGUUGGUGAGGUAACGGCUCACCAAGGCAACGAUACAUAGCCGACCUGAGAGGGUGAUCGGCCACACUGGGACUGAGACACGGCCCAGACUCCUACGGGAGGCAGCAGUAGGGAAUCUUCGGCAAUGGACGGAAGUCUGACCGAGCAACGCCGCGUGAGUGAAGAAGGUUUUCGGAUCGUAAAGCUCUGUUGUAAGAGAAGAACGAGUGUGAGAGUGGAAAGUUCACACUGUGACGGUAUCUUACCAGAAAGGGACGGCUAACUACGUG
Molecule: ribosomal RNA, 497 nt
Filed under: uncultured bacterium
Lineage: Bacteria
Description: partial 16S ribosomal RNA
Rfam family: Bacterial small subunit ribosomal RNA
Source: RNAcentral